GAUGAACGCUGGCGGCGUGCCUAAUACAUGCAAGUCGAGCGAACAGACGAGGAGCUUGCUCCUCUGACGUUAGCGGCGGACGGGUGAGUAACACGUGGAUAACCUACCUAUAAGACUGGGAUAACUUCGGGAAACCGGAGCUAAUACCGGAUAAUAUAUUGAACCGCAUGGUUCAAUAGUGAAAGACGGUUUUGCUGUCACUUAUAGAUGGAUCCGCGCCGCAUUAGCUAGUUGGUAAGGUAACGGCUUACCAAGGCAACGAUGCGUAGCCGACCUGAGAGGGUGAUCGGCCACACUGGAAGGGAGACACGGUCCAGACUACUACGGGAGGCAGCAGUAGGGAAUCUUCCGCAAUGGGCGAAAGCCUGACGGAGCGACGCCGAGUGAGAGAUGAAGGUCUUCGGAGCGGAAAACUCUGUUAUUAGGGAAGAACAAAUGUGGAAGUAACUAUGCACGUCUUGACGGUACCUAAUCAGAAAGCCACGGCUAACUACGUG
RNAcentral lists this ribosomal RNA (497 nucleotides) under uncultured bacterium. RNAcentral's name for it is "partial 16S ribosomal RNA". It matches the Rfam family "Bacterial small subunit ribosomal RNA", at positions 28 to 507 of the family's 1533-position model. The record is from RNAcentral.